GAUAAACAUACAUAGAAUGGCAGUGGAGUUUUGGUGAGGAUUGCAUAAGCAGGGUGUUUUAAAGCUGGACCAGCGUUAUCAAGAACAGAAAAAUCCACAGACAUGUGGUGUCUAAUCUUAUCAUGUGCCUUACUGGCAACAUAGCAAGCAUUUCUAGGGACCUGGCAGUGUUCAUUCUUGAAAGAAAAAUAUAAAUACAAUGUAAAAAGAUAUCCUGUCACCCUAAAAAUUGGGUAAUGAUAAUUGAGAAAAAGGAAUGUGAACUUGAGGUGUAAGAUGUCCCAGAAGAACUUAGAGACAUUGUGGAAGUUCAAGGCUAAGAGGAUGACUCUCAGGGUAAAGUUCAGUAAUGCAAAGGAAUGUGAAUCGUUUUAGGAUAUAAUGGCAAGAACAUGGCAGAUAUGUCAAACAGAACAUAAGGCUGGACAGUAAUGGAAUGGUUUACCUCCAAUAUGACAAGCAUUGGAGACAGAAAGUGUCGGUCAGAACAAGAGAAGUUCUUUGUCCAGGAGAGGGAAGUGAAGCCCUCUACAGCAUUCACCUGCAGAGAGAUCGCUCAGGCUGCACUCAGCAGAAGGCUUGUGUGAAUAGCUUUUGUCUGAAAAGACCUUGGGGAAACAGCUCUGAACGCAGAAUAAAGGUACAAACAAAGCCAGGUCGGGCAGACAAAUGAGACAGACAGACAGACAAAUGAGAGGCAGACACACUAAACGUGGGAUGAGUAGUCGUUAGCAAGGAUGCUUGAACCAGAAGUGUUCUAGAUUUUGAAAUUUUUCAGAUCUUGGAGUGUUUACAUGCAGCGAAUGAGUACUGUGGGGAUGAGAGCCCUGACAACAACGAAUCUGGUGUUUUUAGCUGCCUCGUGCCCAUAGUCUGACUGUGAAUUUAGACAGCAUUCAGGUUUUCUUGCACUAUGGUUAAGCCCGUCACAUGAGGUCAGUCGUGGGAUUUUCCACCUGUGGCACCACAUCAACGUUUAGAAAGUCUUGUAUUCUGGAUCUUUUCAGAUAUUUGAUCUUUGCACUGGGGCUGCUCAGCCUGUAUCCACAUACAUACUAAUUUCACCAACCUAAAGUGACAAACAAAAUGACGUAUGCUUCUAUAGGUGCUCUAUUUGUAGAGGCUACAUAUAGUGUAGGCUGGGGUGGGUGUUCUUAAGGCUGUGACAUUAACAAGAUCAAAAAGAAAGGAUUAGAGAAAAGGAAGCACAGGAGGUCUUAGAGUCUUGGGACUUGGAAUCGCUUGCAGGGAUCUGUAGGCAAAGAGACCUGGAAGGGGGGGGGGGUCAUUAAGUACACAGCACAGGUAGUAGAGCUUCAUGGAGUCAUUUAUUAGCGUUGAGCCACAGAGCUGUCUACAGUGCAAGGCCACUGAGAGCUUAAAUCCAGAGAGAACAGGACACUAAGUUUUCUAACCAGGAGAGGUUUAUGUUUAUACCUGAAGGGAUCAUUUAUUAAAGCAGACUCUAAAAGGAAGGCUAGAAAGAAAGACUAUGCUCUGGCAGUCAGAAGAACUAUAAGCCAGUGAGCAACUUUGCCUGACUGUCACCCUCUAUUUCAAUGAGAAGAAUGUUCUCUAUGAAAUGGGAGAUUUGGCUGCGGGUGGUUUUUCUGGGAAAGGUAUGAUGACCACCAUUCUUGGCUAAGGAAGUCGAUGAUGUCAAUAGGAAGCUAUGUGAGGAAAAGCCCACACUGGAACUCAUCACAGGGCUUAGGGUAGAGAUCUGUGGGUGCUGUCUAAGCCUGGGCACCUGGAAUAGUAUAUAUGUGUACUAUUGAGUAGACAUGAUAUGGGCUCGUCAAAUCAUGGAACCUUAGGCAUUUUUUAAGUAAAUAGAAAUAAAGCAGUACAUUUAGGAAAUUGCCUUAAUUUGAGAAGUGCUUUACAGAAAUACAGAUUUGCUUACUGCAAACUAUCAGAAUAAAACAGCUCUCACUUAAAAGAGAAUACAAGAUAGUUUAUUUUUCACCAGAUGAGAAUGUCCAUGGUCUAGGAACAACAUACAAAAUGAUACAUAAUCAGUUAUAUGACAUGAACAAUUAUUGAAAACACAUAUAACACAAUUGCACUAAACUGGUCUGCUUUCUUAGCGGGAACACAGACAAUUUACAUCUUCGUGUUUUUGAGAUGGAAGAGGACACCACCGAAAUUCAAGGAUUUUUGUUUUGUUUUGUUGUUGUUGUUGUUGUUGUUUGGUUUGGUUUUGGAGACAAAGUCUCACUAUGUAGCCCUGGUUGGUCUCAAACUUCCUACAUAGACUAGGCUAGUCUUGAACUCACAGAGAUCCACCUCCAAAAUGCUGGGAUUAAAUGUGUGUGCCACCAUGCCUGACUCCUUAAAACAACUAAGAUGUAACCAGUCACUCAGUCUUGUAGAAUCUUUAACAUACACAUGUCUUUUUUGCCCUUGGAGUCUUCUGUUCCUAAGACAUCAUGGCUUGUUUUAGAAUUACAGAUAGUCUCUGCAUUCAUGUGGUCUAAACAGGAUGUACACAGGAAAUAAUCCCACAAGUAAUUGCCUCCAUUGUGAGAAAUCAGAUGAAGAAAAUAAGACAGUAGGGGAAGAAAGAGAAGAACAUCGGAAAGAGAUGGGGGCAGCGGGGAGGAGAGCAGGAGAGAGAAGAAAAGAAAAUUGAUAUGAAAACAAAUCUUUAUGAAAAGAAACAUCGUAGCCUGGCAUGCUGGUCCAAACCUGUGACCCUAGCACUCAGAAGACAGAGGCAGAAAAUGAUGUUUUUAUGGCCAGCAUGGCUCUGUUUCCUUAUCAAUCAAUUUUAAUGCCACUACUCUUUCUGUAGAUUUCGGGUUUGCUAGAUAGCGUGUAAACUUUUUAAAAAGAAAUACUUCAGUACAGAUUUAUUAUUUACAGCACCCUAUCUUCUUGAAAGAAGAUAAUCACCAGGCAGGGAAUCCAGGACAAAGAGCUGAAGGAUGUUCACUAGACUCAGGAGGGAAACCAUCACUCCAUUGUAAGGCGGCCUUUGAAGCAUUUCAACCUAGCCGAGAGUCCCCACAUCUGCAAAACCGACAAUGCUGCUUCCUCGGCUUGAGCCAACAUUUUCGUUAUGCUCUCUGUAGGCUGCCUACAGAAGUGUUUCCCUGGGAGUCAUACAGGGGCCAGUACGAGUGUGGUCAAAGGGACCAGGCUACAUCUUGAGCUGGCAGCAGAACUUGGCAGCAUCAUCCAUAGGAUUCUGAUUUUAUGGACAUGAGGAGUACAAGGGUUGGAAGAAGGUAUUUAGAGAAGCCAGAUUCUGUUUUCCCAGGCGUGGUUGCUCCCAUUUGGCUCCAGAAUAAAUUCUUAAUCCCUUCAAGACAGCAUAGUGUCGACUGGUCCUGCCAACAAUACUGGCUCUUUUAGACAGCAUGAAGUACCACCUUCUGGUACUGAAACUCACCUCAAAAGAAGUCUGAGAAAGUCUGUGUGUAACCUGCCAUCAAAGCAUACAAAUGGGUAAAAAUUGUCUGGGAAUUAUUGAUGGACAAUAUGGGUCAAUCUCAGAGACACCGUGCAGAGUGAAAGAGGGGAGACACGCAAGAUCUUGGGUGAAAGGCUUCAAUAGAGAUCAGUAGAAACAAACCUGUCAGAGAACCAGAGAGGGGAGUCAGUGGUUGCCUAGGGUAGCAGGCUCUGGGGUACUGGCUGCAAAUAGGCAAGAAAGGCUUUUGUGUUGCAAUGGAAAUAUCAAAGCUCAUGAAAUUAUGUAUUAAAAUAGGCUAAUUUUAUGUGUCUAAAGCAUGGUUUAGUAAAACUUAAAUAAAUUUUACUCUUUUACUAAAUUGCCUUAAAGAAAUGUUGCCUUUAAAAUUUUCACUUAAACCCAGAUUGUCUAUUUUAAUAAAGAAGAAUUACUUUAUGAAAGAUAAUUUAUAAUUAGAGGAUUUCAAUGGUAGGUCUGAGAACAAUUUAGACUAAGAGAUCAAGUGAGAAAUCAAGACCAAAUUCUAAUGGCACACAAAUAGCUCUAACUUUCUGCUGCCCCCUAGCGGCAGCAACUCAAAAUUUCAGCACAUUCGUUUAUUUCACAAGUGACCAGCUUUAGGAGACUGCUUUUUGCAGACCGAAGGCCAUAUGUUGGCAAGGCUUUGUGGUUCAAUGAACGGACUCUUCUGCAUGCCAUGCCCUAGUCAGAGAGUAGGAGAUGGUGUUGUACAAGACAGACCAAGUCAUUGCCUUCAUCAUGUUCACCUCCUAGUCUCAGACAGUCAAAAGUAAACAGCCAGAUUAGCAAAAGCAUUGCCCCUUAUAGUAAGAAAUUAAUGAACUAAACAAUUGAUAGCUUGCUUGAGGUUAUAGAAGUUAAUGAAAAAAUAAAAAGGCCAGAUAAGGCAAGAUAGGUACAACAUCAGAAGAUCAUUCCAGAUAAAGUUGGCAAGUUGAACAUCCGUGAGCUGGAAUGGAAAUGCUGAGUGGGGGGGACACAUGACAAGCAGAGUUGGGAGGAGUAUGAGAGUGAUCGUUGUAGGAACUCCAGGAUUCUGGUAAGGAGUCUGUUAUAAUUCAGGAGAAAGUGAUUGAAGAAGUCACUGUCUCAGUUUAUGCUCUAAAAUAUCUAAAAUAAACUUCCUGGGGCCGGUGACAUGGCUCCCUGAUAGGUAAGGCACUUUACCUCACUUCCUGAAUUUGAUCCCUCAGGACACAGGAUGGGAAGAGAGAGCUGACUCCCACAAAUUGUCCUCUGACCUCCACAUGUGUGCUCUGGCAAUGCAUGCCUGCUCAUAGCCUCUCUCUCUCUCUCUCUCUCUCUCUCUCUCUCUCUCUCUCUCUCUCACACACACACACACACAUGUAAAAUCUAAUAAAAAGCCAAACAUUCAGUGAAAGAAUCUACAUUUUAUUUUCUCAAACAUCUGUGAAGUUACUCAGAUCCUAAAUCUAGGAAGGCUUUGUGUUUUACAAUGGAUCUUCUGUCUACAUAGAAGCACAGCAAAACAAACACAAUAAAGUAUUUAUAGCUUUGUUUGUUCAGUUAAAUCAGCUGAAAGCAUUGUUGA
Molecule: long non-coding RNA, 4994 nt
Organism: Arvicola amphibius (Eurasian water vole)
Lineage: Eukaryota; Metazoa; Chordata; Mammalia; Rodentia; Cricetidae
Exons: 3
Source: RefSeq, a predicted model, not a curated record